This 601-nucleotide ribosomal RNA is filed under the name Blastomonas natatoria. RNAcentral's name for it is "bacterial SSU rRNA". It matches the Rfam family "Bacterial small subunit ribosomal RNA", at positions 87 to 723 of the family's 1533-position model. Lineage: Bacteria; Pseudomonadati; Pseudomonadota; Alphaproteobacteria; Sphingomonadales; Blastomonadaceae. The record is from RNAcentral.
GAGCCUUAGUGGCGCACGGGUGCGUAACGCGUGGGAAUCUGCCCUUGGGUUCGGAAUAACAGUGAGAAAUUACUGCUAAUACCGGAUGAUGACUUCGGUCCAAAGAUUUAUCGCCCAAGGAUGAGCCCGCGUAAGAUUAGCUAGUUGGUGAGGUAAAGGCUCACCAAGGCGACGAUCUUUAGCUGGUCUGAGAGGAUGAUCAGCCACACUGGGACUGAGACACGGCCCAGACUCCUACGGGAGGCAGCAGUGGGGAAUAUUGGACAAUGGGCGAAAGCCUGAUCCAGCAAUGCCGCGUGAGUGAUGAAGGCCUUAGGGUUGUAAAGCUCUUUUACCAGGGAUGAUAAUGACAGUACCUGGAGAAUAAGCUCCGGCUAACUCCGUGCCAGCAGCCGCGGUAAUACGGAGGGAGCUAGCGUUGUUCGGAAUUACUGGGCGUAAAGCGCACGUAGGCGGCUAUUCAAGUCAGAGGUGAAAGCCCGGGGCUCAACCCCGGAACUGCCUUUGAAACUAGAUAGCUUGAAUCUUGGAGAGGCGAGUGGAAUUCCGAGUGUAGAGGUGAAAUUCGUAGAUAUUCGGAAGAACACCAGUGGCGAAGGCG